This 253-nucleotide ribosomal RNA is filed under the name uncultured bacterium. RNAcentral's name for it is "partial 16S ribosomal RNA". It matches the Rfam family "Bacterial small subunit ribosomal RNA", at positions 524 to 776 of the family's 1533-position model. The record is from RNAcentral.
UACAGAGGGUGCAAGCGUUAAUCGGAAUCACUGGGCGUAAAGGGCACGUAGGUUGUUGACUAAGUGUAAUGUGAAAGCCCCGGGCUCAACCUGGGAACUGCAUUCCAAACUGGUCGGCUAGAGUAUAGUAGAGGGGAGUGGAAUUCCACGUGUAGCGGUGAAAUGCGUAGAUAUGUGGAGGAACAUCAGUGGCGAAGGCGACUCUCUGGACUAAUACUGACACUGAGGUGCGAAAGCGUGGGUAGCGAACAGG